CUGGUUUCCAACAAGUGAGGCAAUUGGCUGCAGAAAUGUGCCAGGGCUUAACCGUUCAUGCUAUGAGAUGGGACAAGAAACACUAAUGAAUACCAGCUGCUCAUGGCUAUCUGACUCCAUCGCUGGGGCACUAGGAAAUUUCCCUGAAGCUGCUGAGAUACCUUUGUCUCGAGAAACCUCCCUUCUCUCCCUGUCACAGUGUCUGCUACCUACUAUCCUUCUCUGGUACAAGGAAAGUGACAUCUGAAGAAGUCAAUGGACUUCAGAACUAGCUAAGUCAACCAGAGUUCACCUGGAUCCCCUCUGCCUCUUCUGUGAUGCUACUUGGGAUCUGUUCUGUUUGGACCUAGCUGCUUGUGAUGCCAUUUGGGUGUGUACACCAUCCGUGGCACCAUGUGAGCUCUGUUCUGUUUGGACUUGGCUCUUCGUGGGGCCAUCUGAGGUUGAGAAAAGCCUUCAGGAUUUAGUCUCACUCUGCUGCUCAGGCUGGAGUGCAGUGGUGUGAUCUCGGCUCACUGCAACAUCUGCCUCCCAGGUUCAAGCAAUUCUUCUGCCUAAGCCUCCCAAGUAGCUGGGACUAUAGUGCUCAAUGCUGUCUGUGUGAAAACAAGGCUGAAAACACCUGGGUCUCAAGAUAUAACCUUGAAGCAAACUGCAGAAAUUUUUUCCCCUCCUCAGUCUUAAUAUAUAGCUUUGAAACAUACCAAGAGUCUUUGUUCCCCCGCCAUUUCCCACCGUACACUCCCUUACGUCACAUACAUUUAUCUGACUGUAGGCUUGUAUCUAAAUAUGUGCUUACUUAGAAGUUCUAGGGACUAAUUUUGAGACAGAUUACAGGCAUGGAAACCCAGCUGCAAAAUUCCAGAGAUUACCUCAAAGCAGUUAGUCAACAACCCGGCCAUUGUGGGGAUGAUGCCAGCCCAUGCUCCAGGUGGACCAUGACUCAAGAUAGCCACCAGAACGAGACGCACGGACCUGUACCCAGCACCACUCCUUGCAUGCCACCCACUGCAAGUUCCCUUUGUAAGCCCCUCUCCCCAGGCUAAAGUUUGAAAUGGUUCCUUUAAGGCACAAGCCAUGGCCACUUCUCCAGUGCUAGCUCUGGAAUAAAGCUUCUUUCUUUUCACUGCAUC
This 1133-nucleotide long non-coding RNA is filed under the name Homo sapiens (human). Its description in RNAcentral is "HSALNT0207878". Lineage: Eukaryota; Metazoa; Chordata; Mammalia; Primates; Hominidae. The record is from RNAcentral.